This 469-nucleotide ribosomal RNA is filed under the name Latilactobacillus sakei. RNAcentral's name for it is "bacterial SSU rRNA". It matches the Rfam family "Bacterial small subunit ribosomal RNA", at positions 90 to 545 of the family's 1533-position model. Lineage: Bacteria; Bacillati; Bacillota; Bacilli; Lactobacillales; Lactobacillaceae. The record is from RNAcentral.
AGUGAGUGGCGGACGGGUGAGUAACACGUGGGUAACCUGCCCUAAAGUGGGGGAUAACAUUUGGAAACAGAUGCUAAUACCGCAUAAAACCUAACACCGCAUGGUGUAGGGUUGAAAGAUGGUUUCGGCUAUCACUUUAGGAUGGACCCGCGGUGCAUUAGUUAGUUGGUGAGGUAAAGGCUCACCAAGACCGUGAUGCAUAGCCGACCUGAGAGGGUAAUCGGCCACACUGGGACUGAGACACGGCCCAGACUCCUACGGGAGGCAGCAGUAGGGAAUCUUCCACAAUGGACGAAAGUCUGAUGGAGCAACGCCGCGUGAGUGAAGAAGGUUUUCGGAUCGUAAAACUCUGUUGUUGGAGAAGAAUGUAUCUGAUAGUAACUGAUCAGGUAGUGACGGUAUCCAACCAGAAAGCCACGGCUAACUACGUGCCAGCAGCCGCGGUAAUACGUAGGUGGCAAGCGUUGUC